UCUCCGUUGGUGAACCAGUGGAGGGAUCAUUACUGAGUUACCGCUCUACAACCCUUUGUGAACAUACCUAACUGUUGCUUCGGCGGGCAGAGGUCCCUCGCGGAUCUCUCCCGGCAACGCCCUCACGGGCGGAGCGCCCGCCGGAGGAUACCAAACUCUAUUUUAACGACGUUCCUUCUGAGUGGCACAAGCAAAUAAUUAAAACUUUUAACAACGGAUCUCUUGGUUCUG
RNAcentral lists this unclassified non-coding RNA (231 nucleotides) under plant metagenome. Its description in RNAcentral is "partial contains small subunit ribosomal RNA, internal transcribed spacer 1, and 5.8S ribosomal RNA". The record is from RNAcentral.